AUGGAGGUGCCAGCAGUUGUGCUGGGACUGGAUUUGGAUCAAGGUCCAAAGGUUUUGGUUAAAGGAGUGGGCAAAACUAUAUAUCUGCCCUGCAAGUAUGAGGGCUCUUCAGACUAUAUCCACUGGUACCAAGUUAAAGACAAAGAAGCCCCAACGAGGCUACUCUACAUCAGUAAAGGAGGUAGUGUUGCUCGUGAUACCAGCGCUGAUGCAGCUGACUUCACAGUGGACAAAACAAAGCUUUAUGAUCUAAAACUGAGUAAUUCUCAGCCGAAACAUUCUGCCAUUUAUUUCUGCGCCUACUGGGGCUCUGGCAACCACAGUGAGAAGAUUAACUCACAUCCUGUACAUAAACUAUACUGGUAA
Molecule: non-coding RNA, 366 nt
Organism: Carassius auratus (goldfish)
Lineage: Eukaryota; Metazoa; Chordata; Actinopteri; Cypriniformes; Cyprinidae
Source: the annotation of a RefSeq genome assembly